Long non-coding RNA from Saccostrea cuccullata (small rock oyster), 367 nucleotides. RefSeq lists it as uncharacterized. NCBI's taxonomy places the organism in Eukaryota, Metazoa, Mollusca, Bivalvia, Ostreida, Ostreidae. The transcript is spliced from 3 exons. The record is from RefSeq and is a predicted model, not a curated record.
CAUCUAGUCAUCUGCAGUGUCCUAAAUCAACAUGGGAAAGCUCUUGGUUAUAUUUACCGUUCUCUGCCUGGUGGCCAUGACGACCGCCCUCAUCCCUAAUGUUGGAUACGAAAAAUGCGACUUUCAACGCAGAUGCUAUUACAACUCCCAGUGUUACGGCGGAGAAUAUUGCAAAAUUAUUGCCCGUUUCCCACAUCCGAUCGCCUUCUGCUGUUUAGGAUAUCACCCCGCUAGAGGAUACUAUUAAAACAAGAAAUACGCGAGCCAGAUCACUUCAUUGUUGACUAAACAAGGAUAUUUGACUUUUGAUACUCAAUGUUCAAUUUAUAAUUGAUGCAUUUGAAUAAAACCUUGCAUUUAAAGUCAA